RNAcentral lists this ribosomal RNA (254 nucleotides) under uncultured bacterium. RNAcentral describes it as "partial 16S ribosomal RNA". It matches the Rfam family "Bacterial small subunit ribosomal RNA", at positions 524 to 776 of the family's 1533-position model. The record is from RNAcentral.
UACGGGGGGAGCAAGCGUUGUUCGGAUUUACUGGGCGUAAAGGGCGCGUAGGCGGUCAGCACAAGUCAGUUGUGAAAUCUCCGGGCUUAACUCGGAAAGGUCAACUGAUACUGUGCGACUAGAGUGCAGAAGGGGCAACUGGAAUUCUCGGUGUAGCGGUGAAAUGCGUAGAUAUCGAGAGGAACACCUGCGGCGAAGGCGGGUUGCUGGACCGACACUGACACUGAGGAGCGAAAGCCAGGGGAGCAAACGGG